GAAAAACUUACAGAAGGUUUUAAUCAUUUAUACAUAUGAUUAUAUAAUCAAAUUCUGAUGAUAACAUACAAAAAGAGAAAAGAGUUGAAAGUAUACUGAUAAAGUUAAACAGAAACUGAUCAUAUGUAAAGCAAAUAUAUAUAUUGCACUAAUUAUCGCAUAAUGAUCCAUUUAUGUGCUAAUUAAUUACAUAAUAAAACAAUUAACGAUCUCAUGGUUUAUGCUUCUGGGUGUAGAUGUAAUCUAUAUGAGCAGCAAGUGUCCUUCUCAUCAAGCACUCUUCUUCCCCAGCUCCUUCACAGCUCUGUUCUUCUACUAUCUCUGCUUCAUCAACACCCUGCGGUUGAUCCUUCGCCAAGGAGCCAUUGGAAAAGGCUGGCUCGUGGCGGGCGGCGUAGGUUAGCGGGUUGGAGCAGAGGAGGAGGGCUAGCAGGAUAGACAGGAUGGCAAACUUAAGCUUAACCAUCUUUUUUAUAAGUUUGCUGUAAGAGAGAAGGCAGAAGAGAUAUCGAUAAGAUAAUUGAGAUGUUGAAGAGACACAAGGAUGCUGUGUAUUUAUAGAAGUAGACUAAAG
RNAcentral lists this unclassified non-coding RNA (574 nucleotides) under Hevea brasiliensis (rubber tree). Lineage: Eukaryota; Viridiplantae; Streptophyta; Magnoliopsida; Malpighiales; Euphorbiaceae. The record is from RNAcentral.